CCUACGGGAGGCAGCAGUGAGGAAUAUUGGUCAAUGGGCGGGAGCCUGAACGAGCAAAGUCGCGUGAGGGAAGACGGUCCUAUGGAUUGUAAACCUCUUUAGGCGGGGAGCACUGCCGGGCACGCGUGUCCGGAGGGAGAGUACCCGCAGAAUAAGCAUCGGCUAACUCCGGGACAGCCGCGGCGGUAAUACGGAGGAUCCGAGCGUUGUGCGGAUUUAGUGGGUUUAAAGGGAGCGUAGAUGGGUUGUUAAGUCAGGUGUGAAAGUUUGCGGCUCAACCCUAAAAUUGCAAUUGAUACUGGUAGACUUGAGUACAGUUGGGGUAGGCGGAAUUCGUGGUGUAGCGGUGAAAUGCGUAGAUAUCACGAAGAACUCCGAUGGCGAAGGCAGCUUACUAAACUGCCACUGACGUUGAUGCUCGAAAGUGUGGGUAGCAAACAGGAUUAGAUACCCGUGUAGUC
This 461-nucleotide ribosomal RNA is filed under the name uncultured bacterium. Its description in RNAcentral is "partial 16S ribosomal RNA". It matches the Rfam family "Bacterial small subunit ribosomal RNA", at positions 338 to 795 of the family's 1533-position model. The record is from RNAcentral.